CCCUUAGAUGUCCUGGGCUGCACGCGCGCUACACUGAUGCAUCCAACAAGUAUUCCUGUCCUGAAAAGGUUGGGUAAUCUCUAAAAAUGCAUCGUGAUGGGGAUAGAUUAUUGCAAUUAUUAAUCUUCAACGAGGAAUGCCUAGUAAGCGCAAGUCAUCAGCUUGCGUUGAUUACGUCCCUGCCCUUUGUACACACCGCCCGUCGCUCCUACCGAUUGAAUGGUCCGGUGAAGCGUUCGGACCGUGGCCUUUGGACGGUUCGCCGUCUGUUGGCUGCGGGAAGUUCGUUAAACCUUAUCAUUUAGAGGAAGGAGAAGUCGUAACA
Molecule: ribosomal RNA, 325 nt
Filed under: uncultured eukaryote
Lineage: Eukaryota
Description: partial 18S ribosomal RNA
Rfam family: Eukaryotic small subunit ribosomal RNA
Source: RNAcentral